RNAcentral lists this ribosomal RNA (413 nucleotides) under uncultured Sebacinales. Its description in RNAcentral is "eukaryotic LSU rRNA". It matches the Rfam family "Eukaryotic large subunit ribosomal RNA", at positions 77 to 492 of the family's 3401-position model. Lineage: Eukaryota; Fungi; Basidiomycota; Agaricomycetes; Sebacinales. The record is from RNAcentral.
CCCCUAGUAACGGCGAGUGAAGAGGGAAAAGCUCAAAUUUUGAAUCUGGUGUCUUUGGCAUCCGAGUUGUAAUCUAGAGAAGUGUUUUUUGCCUUGGACCACACAUAAAUUCCCUGGAAUGGGGUGUCAUAGAGGGUGAGAAUCCCGUUUGUGGUGUGGACUACCUUGGCUAUGUAAUACACUCUCAACGAGUCGAGUUGUUUGGGAAUGCAGCUCAAAAUGGGUGGUAAAUUCCAUCUAAAGCUAAAUACUGGCGAGAGACCGAUAGCGAACAAGUACCGUGAGGGAAAGAUGAAAAGCACUUUGGAAAGAGAGUDAAACAGUACGUGAAAUUGUUGAAAGGGAAGCGUUUGAAGUCAGUCACAUUGGUCAGAAUUCAGCCUGGCUUCUGCCUGGUUCACUUUUUGGCAAAU